UUAAAUGAAUCUAAAUAUUAGAGUAUCACUGUUAAUGAUAUAUUAGAGAAUAAAUUCUCCUUUUAA
RNAcentral lists this transfer RNA (66 nucleotides) under Aphaenomurus interpositus. RNAcentral's name for it is "tRNA-Asn". Lineage: Eukaryota; Metazoa; Arthropoda; Collembola; Entomobryomorpha; Tomoceridae. The record is from RNAcentral.